CUCUCAAUCAAUUGGAACAGGGAGCAGUGGGGUUCAGGUUGCUGGCAGCCUCCACCAGUUAAUCCAUUUGGCUGCAUGGGAAAUGGAGGCGUAGGCUACUAGGAAGAAAAACUCAAGGCUGAUGAGAAAGGCUCAAACCUGGACAGGCACAAGGCUAUGAAGGAUCCAGGGGGAAAAGAUGUUCUUUUCCACUAUAGAUCUGUACUAUUUCCCACAGAGAAGCCUCUUUGCUGCUUAAAAUCCUCCAAGAGCUCACAGAAGACCAAGACCCUUGAUAACUGAUGAGCCAGUGUGCCUCCAUCUUAGGCUUGAAGCCAUCUCAUGAUACAGCGUGACAAUCUGCCUCAGAGUCCUGCCGCCGCGACUUUUCUGCUUUGAUGGACUGGACCUUGGAACAAGGAGCAAAAAGAAAAUCUCUCUUCCUUAUGGU
Molecule: long non-coding RNA, 430 nt
Organism: Acomys russatus (golden spiny mouse)
Lineage: Eukaryota; Metazoa; Chordata; Mammalia; Rodentia; Muridae
Exons: 4
Source: RefSeq, a predicted model, not a curated record